RNAcentral lists this ribosomal RNA (1939 nucleotides) under Prasinoderma coloniale. Its description in RNAcentral is "partial Bacterial large subunit ribosomal RNA". It matches the Rfam family "Bacterial large subunit ribosomal RNA", at positions 3 to 1964 of the family's 2925-position model. The record is from RNAcentral. Lineage: Eukaryota; Viridiplantae; Prasinodermophyta; Prasinodermophyceae; Prasinodermales; Prasinodermaceae.
UCAAGCAACUAAGCGCAUACGGUGGAUGCCUUGGCAGUCAGAGGCGAUGAAAGACGUGGAAGCCUGCGAUAAGGCUCGGGGAGCUGGCAAACAAGCUGUGAUCCGGGCAUCUCUGAAUGGGGAAACCCACCGACUUUCGGGUCGGUAUCUUACACUGAAUCCAUAGGUGUGAGAGGCGAACCGGGGGAACUGAAACAUCUAAGUACCCCGAGGAAAAGAAAUCAACCGAGAUUCCCUAAGUAGCGGCGAGCGAACGGGGACUAGCCCUUAAGCUAGACAACUGGUAGGAGAAGGCUCUGGAAAGUGCCGCCAUAGUGGGUGAUAGCCCCGUAUCCGAAACCUGAGUCUGGUGAAAUCGAGUAGGACGGGACACGUGAUAUCCUGUCUGAACAUGGGGGGACCAUCCUCCAAGGCUAAAUACUCCUGACUGACCGAUAGUGAACCAGUACCGUGAGGGAAAGGCGAAAAGAACCCCUGUGAGGGGAGUGAAAUAGAUCCUGAAACCGUAUGCGUACAAGCAGUCGGAGCGGACUUGUUCCGUGACGGCGUACCUUUUGUAUAAUGGGUCAGCGACUUAUGUUCAGUGGCGAGGUUAACCGUUUAGGGGAGCCGUAGGGAAACCGAGUCUGAAUAGGGCGAUUUAGUCGCUGGGCAUAGACCCGAAACCGGGCGAUCUAUCCAUGAGCAGGUUGAAGGUGCCGUAACAGGCACUGGAGGACCGAACCCACUGUCGUUGAAAAGCCAGGGGAUGACUUGUGGAUCGGAGUGAAAGGCUAAUCAAGCCCGGAGAUAGCUGGUUCUCCCCGAAAGCUAUUUAGGUAGCGCCUCGGACGAAUACCACAGGGGGUAGAGCACUGUUUCGGCUAGGGGGUCAUCCCGACUUACCAACCCGAUGCAAACUCCGAAUACCUGUGAGUACUAUCCGGGAGACACACGGCGGGUGCUAACGUCCGUCGUGAAGAGGGAAACAACCCAGACCGCCAGCUAAGGUCCCCAAGUACCAGUUAAGUGGGAAACGAUGUGGGAAGGCUCAGACAGCUAGGAGGUUGGCUUAGAAGCAGCCAUCCUUUAAAGAAAGCGUAAUAGCUCACUAGUCGAGUCGGCCUGCGCGGAAGAUGUAACGGGGCUAAACUGGUAACCGAAGCUGCGGAUAUGUAGAUAGUUCGCUAUUUACAUAUGGUAGAGGAGCGUUCUGUAAGCCGUUGAAGGUGAACCGGGAGGUUUGCUGGAGGUAUCAGAAGUGCGAAUGCUGACAUGAGUAACGACAAUGCGGGUGAAAAACCCGCACGCCGGAAGACCAAGGGUUCCUGCGCAACGCUAAUCGGCGCAGGGUGAGUCGGCCCCUAAGGCGAGGGCGAAAGCCGUAGUCGAUGGGAAACGGGCUAAUAUUCCCGUACUUCUUCAUAGUGCGAUGGGGGGACGGAGCAGGCUAGGCCAUCAGGGCGUUGGUAGUCCCUGUUUAAGGUUGUAGGCUGGUUGCUUAGGUAAAUCCGGGCGAUCGAGGCCGAGAGCUGAUGACGAGUCCAAGGCGAGAGCCGCGGAUGAAGUGGUUGAUGCCAUACUUCCAGGAAAAGCCUCUAAGCUUCAGCUAUGAAGGAACCGUACUGUAAACCGACACAGGUGAUCAGGUAGAGAAUACCAAGGCGCUUGAGAGAACUCGGGUAAAGGAACUAGGCAAAAUGGUGCCGUAACUUCGGGAGAAGGCACGCUGGCAGUAAGUGAAGCCCCUGCGGGUGGAGCUGAGACCAGUCGAAGAUACCAGGCCCCUGCGACUGUUUAUUAAAAACACAGCACUGUGCAAACACGAAAGUGGACGUAUACGGUGUGACGCCUGCCCGGUGCCGGAAGGUUAAUUGAUGGGGUUAGCGCUUGCGCGAAGCUCUUGAUCGAAGCCCCGGUAAACGGCGGCCGUAACAAUAACGGUCCUAAGGUAGCGAAA